AUUGAACGCUGGCGGCAGGCCUAACACAUGCAAGUCGAGCGGAGCGGCGGACGGGUGAGUAAUGCUUAUGAAUCUGCCUGGUAGUGGGGGAUAACGUCCGGAAACGGGCGCUAAUACCGCAUACUAUCAGAUGAGCCUAGGUCGGAUUAGCUAGUUGGUGGGGGAAAGGACUACCAAGGCGACGAGCCGUAACUGGUCUGAGAGGAUGAUCAGUCACACUGGAACUGAGACACGGCGCAGACUCCUACGGGAGGCAGCAGUGGGGAAUAUUGGGCAAUGGGCGCAAGUCUGACCCAGCAACGCGGCGUGAAGGAAGACGGGCUUCGGAUUGUAAACUUCUUGAGACAGGGACGCGGUACCUGUAGAAUAAGCCACGGCUAACUCCGUGCCAGCAGCCGCGGUAAUAC
Molecule: ribosomal RNA, 407 nt
Filed under: uncultured bacterium
Lineage: Bacteria
Description: partial 16S ribosomal RNA
Rfam family: Bacterial small subunit ribosomal RNA
Source: RNAcentral